RNAcentral lists this ribosomal RNA (397 nucleotides) under uncultured bacterium. RNAcentral describes it as "partial 16S ribosomal RNA". It matches the Rfam family "Bacterial small subunit ribosomal RNA", at positions 523 to 918 of the family's 1533-position model. The record is from RNAcentral.
AUACGUAGGUGGCAAGCGUUGUCCGGAAUUAUUGGGCGUAAAGCGCGCGCAGGCGGUCCUUUAAGUCUGAUGUGAAAGCCCACGGCUCAACCGGGGAGGGUCAUUGGAAACUGGAGGACUUGAGUGCAGAAGAGGAAAGUGGAAUUCCAAGUGUAGCGGUGAAAUGCGUAGAGAUUUGGAGGAGCACCAGUGGCGAAGGCGACUUUCUGGUCUGUAACUGACGCUGAGGCGCGAAAGCGUGGGGAGCAAACAGGAUUAGAUACCCUGGUAGUCCACGCCGUAAACGAUGAGUGCUAAGUGUUAGGGGGUUUCCGCCCCUUAGUGCUGCAGCUAACGCAUUAAGCACUCCGCCUGGGGAGUACGGUCGCAAGACUGAAACUCAAAUGAAUUGGCGGGG